RNAcentral lists this ribosomal RNA (128 nucleotides) under Neogale vison (American mink). Lineage: Eukaryota; Metazoa; Chordata; Mammalia; Carnivora; Mustelidae. The record is from RNAcentral.
GUCUACGGCCAUACCACCCUGAACGCGCCCGAUCUCGUCUGAUCUCGGAAGCUAAGCAGGGUCGGGCCUGGUUAGUACUUGGAUGGGAGAUAAGGUGUGAAACUAUAAUAAAAGGGUAACUUUCAAUU